CUAUAAAUGAAAGAACUCUAACUCUUUCAUGAUACAGGUGUGAGGCUGAAGACGACCCUGCCACUGGGAAGAACAGGCACAGACGGAGUAAAAUUCUGGGCGUGGAUCAAUGCUGCUGGGUGCUGGGGAGGACAGAGUGGUUUAGGCACAGACCUGCCCUCCGGGAGCUUACAGUUGACACAGGCGAGAAGAGAGAUGAGAGAAGACUGACUAUGCUCAUUAUUCAGAGCUUUGCUUACACAGUGAUUAGGAACGAUAAGGGGACAUUUGUUUAAGAGAAGCCUAAUGUUUUCAGGUGACCCCAGGCAACAUUUACAGUUAUGACAGGUG
Molecule: long non-coding RNA, 330 nt
Filed under: Microcebus murinus (gray mouse lemur)
Lineage: Eukaryota; Metazoa; Chordata; Mammalia; Primates; Cheirogaleidae
Description: lncRNA (ENSMICG00000048388.1)
Source: RNAcentral